GCAGGACUAUAUCAACCUGGAUGAGAGUGAGGCCGCAGCGUUUGAUGACGAGUGGCGGCGGGAGACCUCCCGAUUCCGGCAGCAGCGUCCCCUGGAGUUUCGGCGGCUUGAGUCCUCAGGGGCUGGGGGACGAAGGGCGGAGGGGCCUCCCCGCCUGGCCAUCCAGGGACCUGAGGACUCCCCUUCCCGACAGUCCCGCCGCUAUGACUGGUGAGGGCCCCGGGCCCUCAGCCUCUCUUGUAAGUAUCAGGAGCUGAGAAAUCAUCCCCUGAAUAACUUUUUCCUCUCGAUUCCCAUCCCCAAUUUAAUAUUAAAUUAACAGGCAAGCCGGCCCCCACCUCUCCCUGGGGGUCUCAGGGAGAACCUUUCACGGCACCCUUUCCCUACCUUUUCCUUCUUUAAUCUCCUGGUUUACCAUUGAUGACUUCGCCUCUGCAUCUACUGACUUGAUUUUUCAUUCUGCCACUCCAUCUUCAAACCCCCUCACCUUUCCCAUCCUACUCCUGCCAUGCAUUGAAGGGUCAAUGCAUUUUGGGGUGAGCUCUGGGUUUAGGGGCCCCCUCCAUCCCUCAGCUACCCUGGAUCUUUGCCCACCUCUUCCUCAGAGCCCCCACUGAGGGGCCGUAGCCCUAUCUAGGGCUGUGGAAGGAGCAGACUGGUUCCUAACUCUCUCCCUCCUCCUGCCCACACACAUCAAAAGAAUCUUCCCUACACCCUUCUCUGCCUUUAUUUUUUGAUUUGUGCAACUUGUAACUAGGUGUUUAUGGAAUAAAGGAGAAU
Molecule: long non-coding RNA, 780 nt
Filed under: Homo sapiens (human)
Lineage: Eukaryota; Metazoa; Chordata; Mammalia; Primates; Hominidae
Description: HSALNT0184929
Source: RNAcentral